Non-coding RNA from Paramuricea clavata, 632 nucleotides. The record is from the annotation of a GenBank genome assembly. Lineage: Eukaryota; Metazoa; Cnidaria; Anthozoa; Malacalcyonacea; Plexauridae.
AGUUCAAUUUUCUCAACAAAUAUCAUUCAUUUAUCGCUUCCCUGAAUUUAAUCCAUGCUAAUAUAUUCUGUCAGUUUCUUGUCAUGAUGAGCUCUGUUUUCUGUGCGUAGGCUUUUGCGCAAUAAACCAAUCGUACACCAAUUGGAAUAAUUAUGGCAAUAUGCGUUAUAAGCACAUGCCGGUUUAUUAAUUUUUGUAAUGAAUAACAUAAUUAUUAACAUAACAAAUUAUUAAGGAAACUAAUGUUCGUAAAAAUAAUUAUUGGACCAGGAACUGGUCCCCAAUCGCAGCUAAUCUUGUUGUUGUUGUUGUUGUCGUUGUCGGUGUCGUUGUCGUUGUCGUUGUCGUUGUCGUUGUCGUUGUUGUUAGGGGGCGACGCUCUUUGAAAAAAUCCUAAGGCUCCGUCAUUACUUGUCCGAUCGGAAUGAAACUUGACAUAAUUAUUCUAAGCAAUAUUCCGCAUCGAUUGACGGUGCUCGAUUUUUCAUUUUUGACUUUAGAAGCGAAAUACAAGCAAUUUGACUGUAUUCGCAGCAAUUAAUAUAUACAUAUCGUUAAUAUUCAGCAAAUAUAUCGUUGUCGUUGUCGUUGUCGUUGACGUUGUUGUUGUUGUUGUUGUUGUUGUUGUUGUU